This 990-nucleotide long non-coding RNA is filed under the name Rattus norvegicus (Norway rat). RNAcentral describes it as "long non-coding RNA NONRATT007563". The record is from RNAcentral. Lineage: Eukaryota; Metazoa; Chordata; Mammalia; Rodentia; Muridae.
GGGGAGAAAAGAGACAGAAAGACUCCCAUGACACAUCCUGUGGAUUCCACCUGUGUCUCCAUUAUACAAGCUCUAUAGGUUUGUCCCCCUCCCAGGACUUGAGUCAAGCACGGGAUAGUGGGGACUCUGUAAGGCUUUCAGGGGCAAGUCUGCCCCUGAGCCUCAACCCUUUAACCCACGUCAGCACCGCCACCUGCCCACUGAGCACUGCAAAGCCAAACGGGGUAGAAAUCCCGGGUUACUGAGUAGCUUUUCGCAGGCCACUGGGGACGAGGCUAUCUUAUUUUGUGCUUGUGUCUGCCUUUCCGGGACCCUUACUUCUUCCUCCUGUGCCCAUCUCUUGACCUCUGUCUAUCCCAGGCAAAGACAUCGUCCUUGCCUCUGUACUGGCUUCUCCCCAACUAAAACGCUCCGGACAUUUGAGACCCACUUCUGGCUUCAGGAGCGAUGGGGAGGCCUUGUUCAGGCUCACGCAUUGAGCUGAGCGAGCAGCAAAGCGUUAACUUCUCCCUGCUUGGAAAUAAGCGGUGGGUGGCUGAUCAUCUCAGGCCAACCAGAGGUCCGUUGCCCAGGCAACUCACCAGCUCCGCCUCUGAGGAUUGGCUGUUGGGAUGGAAGUUAGCCAAGCUUUAAAGGGACGCCAGCAAUUGCUCCUUUGGGGGAAAAAAAUCUACCAGUCCCACUGUGGGUGGAGAAAUAAAUGGUCUUUCUCCUUGUCAGGUCUUUUUUUUUUGUCCUGCUGGGUGACGGUGCUCCUUUGGAACACCGAGGAUGGCUUGAGAGACAGUAGCAAGCUAGGGGCAGUGGGGGAGGGGGAGGGGAGCAGGGCAUGGACCUUGCGCCACACCUUUCCUAGUGCUCGGAAUCCAGCCUGAUGGACUUGAGGUUUUUUUCCUGUCCAGAGCUCUCCUUAGGCAAACUCAGGAUUCACAGGCUCUUCCAGCUCUGCCAGCCGAUUGUGUCCCCUCUGUGGGUUACUCUCAAGCCACA